RNAcentral lists this ribosomal RNA (378 nucleotides) under uncultured fungus. Its description in RNAcentral is "eukaryotic LSU rRNA". The stretch from base 7 to 160 matches the Rfam family "5.8S ribosomal RNA". Lineage: Eukaryota; Fungi. The record is from RNAcentral.
UAUUACAACUUUCAACAAUGGAUCUCUUGGUUCUGGCAUCGAUGAAGAACGCAGCGAAAUGCGAUAAGUAGUGUGAAUUGCAGACUUUAGUGAAUCAUCGAAUCUUUGAACGCACAUUGCGCCCCUUGGUAUUCCAUUGGGCAUGCCUGUUCGAGCGUCAUUUACACCCUCAAGCUACGCUUGGUGUUGGGCGUCUGUCCCCGCUUCCCGCGGGGACUCGCCCCAAAUCCAUUGGCAGCGGCAUCGCCGGCUUCUCGCGCAGCACAUUGCGCUUCAGAAGGUUCCCGGCGGGCUCGCAUCCAGCAAGAACCCCCCCAGUUUGACCUCGAAUCAGGUAGGGAUACCCGCUGAACUNAANCAUAUCAAUAAGCGNAGGAA